GCUAGGCGCAGUGGCGCACGCCUGUAAUCCUAGAAGCUCAGGAGGCAGAGGCAGGAGGAUCGCAAGUUCAAAGCCAGUCUUAGCAAUUUAUCAGGGUGCUAAGCAACUCAGUGAGAACCUGUCAGUGAGAAUCUGUCUCUA
This 141-nucleotide small RNA is filed under the name Marmota monax (woodchuck). Lineage: Eukaryota; Metazoa; Chordata; Mammalia; Rodentia; Sciuridae. The record is from RNAcentral.